RNAcentral lists this long non-coding RNA (805 nucleotides) under Junco hyemalis (dark-eyed junco). Its description in RNAcentral is "lncRNA (ENSJHYG00000015767.1)". Lineage: Eukaryota; Metazoa; Chordata; Aves; Passeriformes; Passerellidae. The record is from RNAcentral.
CAAAGAGUGCAAUCCCUGGAAGGUUAGCACAGCACAUUCAUGCCCUUUGUGUGUUCUGUUGCAGGCAUCCCUGCAGUUUGCUGAGUGCCAGUGCAUCGUGCAGUGCCAGGAGCAGGAAGCCAUGCAGGCUGCAGCACACCUUGGAUGUGAGAGCGAGUGCCUUCCUGGGAAGUGUGGGCCCAGCCUCAGGAGCUGCAGGGCCCAGGCUACUCCUCAGCUUCUGCCUCAGGGAAGCUGCAGCACUCUGUGCCUCGGUCCCACCUGCUCUCUGCUGUCUGGCCACAUGCCCUGCACCUGCCCCGCUCUGCCCCCCAGGUGAGUGCCUGCCUCAGCAUGGACACCAGCACGUCCCAAACAGCAAAAAUAACAUGGAAUUCCUUCAGGGAAGAGCAUCUGCUCAGAGCAUCUGAGAGCAAAUUCCUAACGCCCAAGGUGAAAUAAUUCCUGUAGCUUCGCAUGUGCUGGGUCCUUUCAGAUUUUUUUUUUUGGUGCAAAAAACAAUGUGACAACUAUAAAAUCCUAUAGCCUGUGCUAAGUUCAUCUUACCUCUUCCACAAAUGACAUUCAUGAACUAUUAAGUCUGAAGGUAAGUAGUUUGGUUUUCACUUUUUUUUUGCUGUUUAUCACAUUUGACAGUGAAAAUAGAUUUGUGCUUAGUUGUUGAAACAUUUAAUCAUCUGCUUGAUAUUUGAAUCUUCCUCCAACCUGGCUUUUAUGAUUUUGAUCAGUUUUAUCCACACCGUUUUUCUUCCUUUUGAUUUUGUACGUCUACCUUUAGAUUGAAAUAAAAUACACUGAUUUUUCA